CCUACGGGUGGCAGCAGUGAGGAAUAUUGGUCAAUGGACGAGAGUCUGAACCAGCCAAGUAGCGUGAAGGAUGACUGCCCUAUGGGUUGUAAACUUCUUUUAUAUGGGAAUAAAAUGUUCCACGUGUGGCUUUUUGUAUGUACCUUAUGAAUAAGGAUCGGCUAACUCCGUGCCAGCAGCCGCGGUAAUACGGAGGAUCCGAGCGUUAUCCGGAUUUGUUGGGUUUAAAGGGAGCGUAGGUGGUUUGUUAAGUCAGUUGUGAAAGUUUGCGGCUCAACCGUAAAAUUGCAGUUGAAACUGGCAGUCUUGAGUACAGUAGAGGUGGGCGGAAUUCGUGGUGUAGCGGUGAAAUGCUUAGAUAUCACGAAGAACCCCGAUUGCGAAGGCAGCUCACUGAACUGCAACUGACACUGAGGCUCGAAAGUGUGGGUAUCAAACAGGAUUAGAUACCCGGGUAGUC
This 460-nucleotide ribosomal RNA is filed under the name uncultured bacterium. RNAcentral describes it as "partial 16S ribosomal RNA". It matches the Rfam family "Bacterial small subunit ribosomal RNA", at positions 338 to 795 of the family's 1533-position model. The record is from RNAcentral.